This 497-nucleotide ribosomal RNA is filed under the name uncultured bacterium. Its description in RNAcentral is "partial 16S ribosomal RNA". It matches the Rfam family "Bacterial small subunit ribosomal RNA", at positions 28 to 507 of the family's 1533-position model. The record is from RNAcentral.
GACGAACGCUGGCGGCGUGCCUAAUACAUGCAAGUAGAACGCUGAAGCGAGGAGCUUGCUCUUCUUGGAUGAGUUGCGAACGGGUGAGUAACGCGUAGGUAACCUGCCUUGUAGCGGGGGAUAACUAUUGGAAACGAUAGCUAAUACCGCAUAACAAUGGAUGACACAUGUCAUUUAUUUGAAAGGGGCAAUUGCUCCACUACAAGAUGGACCUGCGUUGUAUUAGCUAGUAGGUGAGGUAAUGGCUCACCUAGGCGACGAUACAUAGCCGCCCUGAGAGGGUGAUCGGCCACACUGGGACUGAGACACGGCCCAGACUCCUACGGGAGGCAGCAGUAGGGAAUCUUCGGCAAUGGGGGCAACCCUGACCGAGCAACGCCGCGUGAGUGAAGAAGGUUUUCGGAUCGUAAAGCUCUGUUGUAAGUCAAGAACGGGUGUGAGAGUGGAAAGUUCACACUGUGACGGUAGCUUACCAGAAAGGGACGGCUAACUACGUG